Molecule: non-coding RNA, 501 nt
Organism: Pantherophis guttatus
Lineage: Eukaryota; Metazoa; Chordata; Lepidosauria; Squamata; Colubridae
Source: RefSeq, a predicted model, not a curated record
AAAAUCUGGUCACCUUACUCAUGGGCUGUGAGGCCAGGCCAGUGAGCAGGCCACGGAGGUGCUGGUGGCAGGCACAACACUGAUCUACAACUUUGUGGUGGCCAUCCGGCAAGAAUAUAGUCAGCCUUAGAUCUGGCCUGCGAGACUGCCCUGUAGAUAGUGAGCCACUUCCACUGGCUCAGCCAUGCUAAGCACACAGGAGGUGUUCUUCCUUUUGGCCAUCAGGUCCAGUCACUCCCCAUUGAAAUCUUAGAGUUCCAGUUCAGUCUGGGGUUCCACUUCCUCAACCAGAACCCCAGAUAUUUCAUCCACAGUGAAACUCUACACAGAAUGAACAUAGAUCACAGUGCAAAACCCCAGAUAUUUCAUCCACAGUGAAACUCUACACAGAAUGAACAUAGAUCACAGUGAGAGUAUGUGUAUGCAUAUUUGCAAAUAAGACUGAGAAGUAAUGAAGAAAGUUAUUAAAGGGGGAAAAUGCAGGCAGAAUCACCAGCUUUA